This 1700-nucleotide long non-coding RNA is filed under the name Daphnia magna. Its description in RNAcentral is "uncharacterized LOC123472661, transcript variant X1". Lineage: Eukaryota; Metazoa; Arthropoda; Branchiopoda; Diplostraca; Daphniidae. The record is from RNAcentral.
AGUCUUCUCCCGAUUCCUCCCUCAGUCUGUUUCCUUUUCCCUUUUUUACCGCUGUGUUUUUGUUAUGUCAUUGGUGUCAAAUUUAAAUAAACAUCAUCUUUGCCUAAUUGUUUCAUCUGGUGGCAGAGGCAACGUGAACCCGGCGACCGAAGCCUUGGCCAUUACGGACGCGUUACCAAAAACCUACUACAGCAGCUCUUCGCCGAAGAAGGCAUAAAUUGAGGAAAAAUAUUCUGUCACCGACAUCAAAGAAAAACAAUUAAAGAAGAAAAUAAAGGCAUUGUGGUUGGAGCAUGGCCUACUAUAAUCACGGCUCAUCAGCUGGAUAUCUCCCUGUAGCCUAAAAUGAAUUGGGAUCGCUCCGCCCAUUCAUAGCCAGAGGGUCGUAGUCCCUCUCAAAUUUUUCCAAAUUCCACUGCUUGUUUCCACCUUUUAAAAUGUUUUUAAAUUCUGCCAUUGCCGUGCUUCUGAUGUCAUGAUUCGAAUCGCUCUGCCAGGGUGUUUGAGUAAGUACUAAGCACUUAGAGUUGUUGUUUGGUAAGUAUUUGUCCCUUAAUUUUUUAUUCUUAAUUUUUCUUGAUAACAUUCAUAGGACACAACGCCAACACAAUGCAAAUAAAAAGAAGUAAAAUGGGAUGCAAGUACUUUUCAGAGAGGUAGACCAAGCCGGGCACUGUCUGAGGCCCAGCACACAAUGAGUAAUUUAUGUCAACAGCGGCUGAGGAUCUGGGGGAGCCAACUGAAGUAGAUUAGUAGGAACAAGAACUUACUUUUAGUAACUCAAUUAAUGUUUAGUUAAUGGAAUAUUAAUUAAUUUGUUUCUGUAUUUCUUAGGUAAUGGGCAAAGCAUUGAAUUUUACUUACGAACAACAACAACAUCACUAGCUACUUUUAAAGUUUAAGGGCUUUUCUCUUCUUUCGCUUGUUCUGAACAAUUAGUAUUUUAUCACUUCGUACAUGACUUCUUUUUUCUUCUGCAGCAAAACAUUUGAAUUCUUCGCAUUGAGACAAACGCACCACAACAAAGUCAACAAAGUCAUCGACUAUUUUGCUGCAGUUCCGUAGUUUUUGGAAUACUCUUCUUAAAAAAAUGUACACUGUCCACAUGCGAGACGUCACUGAUUCACAAGGAUAUUUCAAACCACCUCUAUCUGGUAUCUUGCGUUGCAUGUACGGGUAAUGAUUUUGGUGUAACAAUCAAUGCAAAAGCAGAGCAGUUGUUCGUACUUAAAUAUUGCAUAGCCAGUUAUAUAAAACAUGAAAGUGCGUCUGAAAUGAAGGGAACGUGGUCUAUACAGCCUCUGUGACUAGAGGAGUGUUACAAUGCAUCGGUGUCAUAGCCAAUUGAGUACGACUAAUUCUUUCUAUGGCACUUAGACAAUGGCCAACAGCAGGAUGGUCAUUGUAACCUCAGUGGUUGCGCACAGCUCCAUGGAAACGCUCUAUAUUAUCCGUGGAAAACCUUCUUGUCAGUACGAAUUGUAAUCCAUUGUUGAGAAGAUGCUUUAUAAAGUUUGCUGUGGAAUGCGAAGUUAGAAUAAUCGCUCUAGAGUUUCUUUCGUGAAACAUUCCAUAGGAUCUUCUGUUGAUUCCAUUGAAUAAGCAUUUGGGGUAUUGUAACGUCAAGCUCAUACAAUCUGUCAUCGUUUGGGUCAGCGAAUGGUUUUUUAAUAUCUAGCCUUUGUUGGUAAUGUUGGGUC